UACGUAGGGGGCAAGCGUUGUCCGGAAUCAUUGGGCGUAAAGAGCGUGUAGGCGGCCAGAUAAGUCCGCUGUGAAAACUCGAGGCUCAACUUCGAGCUGUCGGUGGAAACUAUUUGGCUAGAGUCCGGAAGAGGAGAGUGGAAUUCCUGGUGUAGCGGUGAAAUGCGCAGAUAUCAGGAGGAACACCAGUGGCGAAGGCGGUGCUCUGGGCCGGAACUGACGCUGAGGAGCGAAAGCGUGGGGAGCAAACAGG
This 253-nucleotide ribosomal RNA is filed under the name uncultured bacterium. Its description in RNAcentral is "partial 16S ribosomal RNA". It matches the Rfam family "Bacterial small subunit ribosomal RNA", at positions 524 to 776 of the family's 1533-position model. The record is from RNAcentral.